UUGAAAGUUAAUGAGUAGAGAAAAGGCAAUAAAGCCCUUAGAGGCUUAAAGAGAAAGUAUGAUUAAAUGAGGGGUAUAGUAGUAAUUGAUUAAAGAGAUGAUAAAUAUAAAUAGAAAGU
Molecule: long non-coding RNA, 119 nt
Organism: Populus euphratica (Euphrates poplar)
Lineage: Eukaryota; Viridiplantae; Streptophyta; Magnoliopsida; Malpighiales; Salicaceae
Exons: 3
Source: RefSeq, a predicted model, not a curated record